Non-coding RNA from Siniperca chuatsi (mandarin fish), 1510 nucleotides. The record is from the annotation of a RefSeq genome assembly. Lineage: Eukaryota; Metazoa; Chordata; Actinopteri; Centrarchiformes; Sinipercidae.
AUCUAGGUCUCUCCUCCCUGUGAGGAGGAGUCAAUGCAAAACUCAGAUGUCUUCCACCUCUACUUAUCUGACUGCAGAGAGGACGACAGAGAACAGUGGACACACAGUUUGACAUGAUGGACUAUAGGACAGGACUGCUGCUUUUAACUCUCUGCUGGGCAGGUGUUGAUGGUCAGACUCUGACAGAAUCUGAACCAGUGGUUAAAAGGCCUGGAGAAUCUCACAGAUUGACCUGUACAGCCUCUGGAUUCACAUUCAGCAGCUACGAGAUGCACUGGGUCAGACAGGCUCCUGGAAAAGGACUGGAGUGGAUCGCUUAUAUAGACACAGGCAGUUCGAAUAUCUAUUACUCCCAGUCAGUCCAGGGUAGAUUCACCAUCUCCAGAGACGACUCCAGCAGUAAAGUCUAUCUACAGAUGAACAGUCUGAAGACCGAGGACACAGCAGUGUAUUACUGUGCCAGAGAGACACAGCGAGAGACAAUAAUAGGAGAGUCAUACAAAAACUACUUCCUCUAUUUACUACCACCUCUGGGGACACUCACUUUCUUCAGUAUCACUUUUUUUUUGCAAUUGAUCUGUACAGCCUCUGGAUUCACAUUAAGCAGCCACAUCAUGCACUGGGUCAGACAGGCUCCUGGAAAAGGACUGGAGUGGGUUGCACUUAUCAACUAUAACAGUGCUGAGAUCUACUACUCUCAGUCAGUCAAAGGCCGGUUUACCAUCUCCAGAGACAACAGCAGACAGCAGCUGUAUCUGCAGAUGAACAGUCUGAAGACUGAAGAUUCUGCUGUUUAUUAUUGUGCUCGAGAGCCACAGUGACUGGAGUUUGUUUAGCAGUUGUACAAAAUCCUACAGGACACAUGUUUACCACAGUUAUCUCACAUGAUUAAUGUCAUUGUUGAAGAAAAUUAUACAAUACAUUUAGAUAUAACAAUUCAUAGCAAAAACAGAAAAUAUUUUGUACCUGAUUAACAUUUUUUUUUAUUGCAGGAACUUGAGUGGGUUAUGAGAUGCCCAUCAUUAAUAAACUAUUAAAAUAUAAAUUACAGUUUUGUUUAGUUUUAUGUUUUGUUAAUUCAUAUUUAAUAUGGAAUGAAUGUUUGACGAAUGGUUGUGCAGCCUGGACAGUCUUUGACCAUCACCUGUCAGGCCUCUGGUUAUUCUCUGACCGAACAGUGUCUCUAAAAGGACAGAAUCUGCAGCCUGAGGACACAGCUGUGUAUUACUGUGUACAUCAGCCCACAGUGAUACAAACCACCAACAGACCUGCACAAAUACUCAGCAACCAGCAAGACUCAACCACACACAUGUGAACGUUAAUGAAGACAUUACUCUCUGAUGAGCUGAUCAUGUCGAUGAAUGUUUAUGGAAUUCACUGAAUGGUGGAGGACAUUUUUUGUCACUGAGAGACAGAGGAAGAUGAGGCUGAGACAAAGAUGCACUUCCUCUACAAUGUACAGCAUUCAAUGAAAUAAGGAACGUUUACUUUAACAAGUGCAACUCUGUAA